UACGAAGGGUGCAAGCGUUGUCCGGAAUUAUUGGGCGUAAAGAGCUCGUAGGCGGUUUGUCGCGUCUGCUGUGAAAACCCGAGGCUCAACCUCGGGCCUGCAGUGGGUACGGGCAGACUAGAGUGCGGUAGGGGAGAUUGGAAUUCCUGGUGUAGCGGUGGAAUGCGCAGAUAUCAGGAGGAACACCAAUGGCGAAGGCAGAUCUCUGGGCCGUAACUGACGCUGAGGAGCGAAAGCAUGGGGAGCGAACAGG
This 253-nucleotide ribosomal RNA is filed under the name uncultured bacterium. RNAcentral describes it as "partial 16S ribosomal RNA". It matches the Rfam family "Bacterial small subunit ribosomal RNA", at positions 524 to 776 of the family's 1533-position model. The record is from RNAcentral.